RNAcentral lists this small RNA (292 nucleotides) under Klebsiella sp. RIT-PI-d. RNAcentral describes it as "SgrS RNA". It matches the Rfam family "SgrS RNA". Rfam says of the family: In sugar transport-related sRNA (SgrS) is induced under conditions of glucose phosphate stress in E.coli. This small RNA acts to negatively regulate the translation and stability of the ptsG mRNA, which encodes the major glucose transporter in E. coli. Lineage: Bacteria; Pseudomonadati; Pseudomonadota; Gammaproteobacteria; Enterobacterales; Enterobacteriaceae. The record is from Rfam by way of RNAcentral.
GAUGAAGCAAGGAGGUGGAUUAUGCAGAAGUCAUUCAUUCGUCAGUUUUACCUGAGCUAUUUCAUUGCCACACAGGAUGUGUGCUGGCUGGCCCGCCAGAGUGCACGGCAGCGAUACGCAUUGCUGGAAGAAUUGAUGCAGUGGGACGUUACAAACCCUGUCUCUGAUCCCGUUCAUCGUCAGGAGAAAACAUCGCCUGAACGAUGAGCAGAUACCGACUUGCAGAUAUCAUGUGUGACUGAGAAUUGGUGUAAAAUCACCCGCCAGCAGAUUCUUUCUGCUGGCUUUUUUC